GGCUCCGUGGCUCAGUGGAAAGAGCCUGGGCUUAGGACUCAGAGGUCAUGGGUUCGACUCCCGGCUCUGCCA
RNAcentral lists this transfer RNA (72 nucleotides) under Ornithorhynchus anatinus (platypus). It matches the Rfam family "tRNA". Rfam says of the family: Transfer RNA (tRNA) molecules are approximately 80 nucleotides in length. The record is from Rfam by way of RNAcentral. Lineage: Eukaryota; Metazoa; Chordata; Mammalia; Monotremata; Ornithorhynchidae.